RNAcentral lists this ribosomal RNA (528 nucleotides) under uncultured bacterium. Its description in RNAcentral is "bacterial SSU rRNA". It matches the Rfam family "Bacterial small subunit ribosomal RNA", at positions 1 to 526 of the family's 1533-position model. The record is from RNAcentral.
CCGCAGUAUAUAGGGUUUGAUCCUGGCUCAGCAGCCGCCGUAACACAUGCAAGUCGAGCGGCAGCGGGAAGUAGUUUACUACUUUGCCGGCGAGCGGCGGACGGGUGAGUAAUGUCUGGGAAACUGCCUGAUGGAGGGGGAUAACUACUGGAAACGGUAGCUAAUACCGCAUAACGUCUUCGGACCAAAGUGGGGGACCUUCGGGCCUCACGCCAUCGGAUGUGCCCAGAUGGGAUUAGCUAGUAGGUGGGGUAAUGGCUCACCUAGGCGACGAUCCCUAGCUGGUCUGAGAGGAUGACCAGCCACACUGGAACUGAGACACGGUCCAGACUCCUACGGGAGGCAGCAGUGGGGAAUAUUGCACAAUGGGCGCAAGCCUGAUGCAGCCAUGCCGCGUGUGUGAAGAAGGCCUUCGGGUUGUAAAGCACUUUCAGCGAGGAGGAAGGCCAAUAACUUAAUACGUUGUUGGAUUGACGUUACUCGCAGAAGAAGCACCGGCUAACUCCGUGCCAGCAGCCGCGGUAAAAC